RNAcentral lists this ribosomal RNA (500 nucleotides) under Fusobacterium sp. oral clone BP1-70. Its description in RNAcentral is "bacterial SSU rRNA". It matches the Rfam family "Bacterial small subunit ribosomal RNA", at positions 10 to 521 of the family's 1533-position model. The record is from RNAcentral. Lineage: Bacteria; Fusobacteriati; Fusobacteriota; Fusobacteriia; Fusobacteriales; Fusobacteriaceae.
AGUUUGAUCCUGGCUCAGGAUGAACGCUGACAGAAUGCUUAACACAUGCAAGUCUACUUGAAUUUGGGUUUUUUAACUUCGAUUUGGGUGGCGGACGGGUGAGUAACGCGUAAAGAACUUGCCUCACAGCUAGGGACAACAUUUGGAAACGAAUGCUAAUACCUAAUAUUAUGAUUAUAGGGCAUCCUAGAAUUAUGAAAGCUAUAUGCGCUGUGAGAGAGCUUUGCGUCCCAUUAGCUAGUUGGAGAGGUAACGGCUCACCAAGGCGAUGAUGGGUAGCCGGCCUGAGAGGGUGAACGGCCACAAGGGGACUGAGACACGGCCCUUACUCCUACGGGAGGCAGCAGUGGGGAAUAUUGGACAAUGGACCGAGAGUCUGAUCCAGCAAUUCUGUGUGCACGAUGACGUUUUUCGGAAUGUAAAGUGCUUUCAGUUGGGAAGAAAAAAAUGACGGUACCAACAGAAGAAGUGACGGCUAAAUACGUGCCAGCAGCCGCGGU